GCAGAUGGGCCACCAGCUGGAAACCUGUUUCAGAAGCAUGCUCUGAGUUCAGUGCAUAUAAAGCCGGGCAUUACGAAGUGCAUACUCUCAUGGGAAUGAGAUGUACUUACAUUCAGAACCCUAUGCUCACAUUUCAGACAAAGCACCAUUGAUCCUACCAAGUACUGAAUGGCAAUUAUUCCCUACCAGAAGAAAUGUGUAGUACUUUCUCCAUCUUGAAGAAUUCUACUUAUGAAGAUGCUCCAGACAUCAUCACCUCAAUCUGGUUCUGCUUUGGGCAAACCCAGUACAAAGUCGAAGGAUGAGUAUUCAUUCAUCUGCUCCACAAGACUUUAAGUCACUGCUUUGUACACAGCUGCCUCAGUGAAAU
This is a long non-coding RNA of Heteronotia binoei (common prickly gecko), 370 nucleotides long. RefSeq lists it as uncharacterized. Lineage: Eukaryota; Metazoa; Chordata; Lepidosauria; Squamata; Gekkonidae. The transcript has 3 exons. The record is from RefSeq and is a predicted model, not a curated record.